Molecule: ribosomal RNA, 497 nt
Filed under: uncultured bacterium
Lineage: Bacteria
Description: partial 16S ribosomal RNA
Rfam family: Bacterial small subunit ribosomal RNA
Source: RNAcentral
GAUGAACGCUGGCGGCGUGCCUAAUACAUGCAAGUCGAGCGAACAGACGAGGAGCUUGCUCCUCUGACGUUAGCGGCGGACGGGUGAGUAACACGUGGAUAACCUACCUAUAAGACUGGGAUAACUUCGGGAAACCGGAGCUAAUACCGGAUAAUAUAUUGAACCGCAUGGUUCAAUAGUGAAAGACGGUUUUGCUGUCACUUAUAGAUGGAUCCGCGCCGCAUUAGCUAGUUGGUAAGGUAACAGCUUACCAAGGCAACGAUGCGUAGCCGACCUGAGAGGGUGAUCGGCCACACUGGAACUGAGACACGGUCCAGACUCCUACGGGAGGCAGCAGUAGGGAAUCUUCCGCAAUGGGCGAAAGCCUGACGGAGCAACGCCGCGUGAGUGAUGAAGGUCUUCGGAUCGUAAAACUCUGUUAUUAGGGAAGAACAAAUGUGUAAGUAACUAUGCACGUCUUGACGGUGCCUAAUCAGAAAGCCACGGCUAGCUACGUG